Molecule: ribosomal RNA, 429 nt
Filed under: Gemmatimonadota bacterium
Lineage: Bacteria; Pseudomonadati; Gemmatimonadota
Description: Gemmatimonadetes bacterium partial 16S ribosomal RNA
Rfam family: Bacterial small subunit ribosomal RNA
Source: RNAcentral
UAGGGAAUCUUCGGCAAUGGACGAAAGUCUGACCGAGCAACGCCGCGUGAGUGAAGAAGGUUUUCGGAUCGUAAAACUUUGUUGUUAGAGAAGAACAAGGACGUUAGUAACUGAACGUCCCCUGACGGUAUCUAACCAGAAAGCCACGGCUAACUACGUGCCAGCAGCCGCGGUAAUACGGAGGUGGCAAGCGUUGUCCGGAUUUGUUGGGCGUAAAGCGAGCGCAGGCGGUUUCUUAAGUCUGAUGUGAAAGCCCCCGGCUCAACCGGGGAGGGUCAUUGGAAACUGGGGGACUGGAGUGCAGAAGAGGAGAGUGAAAUUCCAUGUGUCGCUUUGAAAUGCAUAGAUAUAUGGAGGAACACCAGUGGCGAAGGCGGCUCUCUGGUCUGUAACUGACGCUGAGGCUCGAAAGCGUGGGGAGCAAACAGG